ACCAUGCAGUCGAACGGUGAAGAGGAGCUUGCUCCUUGGAUCAGUGGCGAACGGGUGAGUAACACGUGAGCAAUCUGCCCUUGACUCUGGGAUAACUGCGGGAAACUGUAGCUAAUACCGGAUAUUACCUUGGAAGGCAUCUUCUGGGGUGGAAAGAAUUUUGGUCAAGGAUGAGCUCGCGGCCUAUCAGCUAGUUGGUGAGGUAAUGGCUCACCAAGGCGACGACGGGUAGCCGGCCUGAGAGGGUGACCGGCCACACUGGGACUGAGACACGGCCCAGACUCCUACGGGAGGCAGCAGUGGGGAAUAUUGCACAAUGGGCGCAAGCCUGAUGCAGCAACGCCGCGUGAGGGACGACGGCCUUCGGGUUGUAAACCUCUUUUAGUAGGGAAGAAGCGACUGGGUUUUCCUGGGAGUGACGGUACCUGCAGAAAAGGCACCGGCUAACUACGUGCCAGCAGCCGCGGUAAUACGUAGGGUGCAAGCGUUGUCCGGAAUUAUUGGGCGUAAAGAGCUCGUAGGCGGUUUGUCGCGUCUGCUGUGAAAACCCGAGGCUCAACCUCGGGCCUGCAGUGGGUACGGGCAGACUAGAGUGCGGUAGGGGAGAUUGGAAUUCCUGGUGUAGCGGUGGAAUGCGCAGAUAUCAGGAGGA
This 652-nucleotide ribosomal RNA is filed under the name uncultured bacterium. RNAcentral describes it as "bacterial SSU rRNA". It matches the Rfam family "Bacterial small subunit ribosomal RNA", at positions 53 to 705 of the family's 1533-position model. The record is from RNAcentral.